Molecule: ribosomal RNA, 543 nt
Filed under: uncultured Glomeromycotina
Lineage: Eukaryota; Fungi; Glomeromycota
Description: SSU rRNA
Rfam family: Eukaryotic small subunit ribosomal RNA
Source: RNAcentral
AGCAGCCGCGGUAAUUCCAGCUCCAAUAGCGUAUAUUAAAGUUGUUGCAGUUAAAAGCUCGUAGUUGAAUUUCGGGAUUGACGUAAUGGUCGUGCCUUAAGGGGUAUGAACUGUUACUGUUGAUUUCUCACCUUCUGGAGAAACUUGAUGUCCUUAAUUGGGUGUCUUGCGGAUCCAGGACCUUUACCUUGAAAAAUUAGAGUGUUUAAAGCAGGCAUUUUUGCUCGAAUACAUUAGCAUGGAAUAAUAGAAUAGGACGGCAUGGUUCUAUUUUGUUGGUUUCUAGGAUCACCGUAAUGAUUAAUAGGGAUAGUUGGGGGCAUUAGUAUUCAAUUGUCAGAGGUGAAAUUCUUGGAUUUAUUGAAGACUAACUACUGCGAAAGCAUUUGCCAAGGAUGUUUUCAUUAAUCAAGAACGAAAGUUAGGGGAUCGAAGACGAUCAGAUACCGUCGUAGUCUUAACCAUAAACUAUGCCGACUAGGAAUCAGACGAUGUUAAUUUUUUAAUGACUCGUUUGGCACCUUACGGGAAACCAAAGUGUUU